CCUGUCCCUGGAGGCACUACCAGUCGGCUGAAUGGCAAAUUCCGAGACCAUUUUGAACACCAACGAAGGCGGGGCUAUUAGAGGCGGACGGGAGGUGGCGCUGUUGCGCUUCACCAGGAUUUUCCAUUUCCACUUGGACGGACGUCUCCAAGAUACCCGAUCGCCAGGCAAUCACCAGAGAAGGAAAUCAGCAAGUGAACCAGCAACGAAGUCCAGCUUUGACAGUUUCAGCAGAGAUUUCCCGCUGGCUAGCUUGCGGUGAGUCCCGGAAACCCCCGCUCCCGCAGACUUCCCUUUGCGGGGAGCCCGCCCCAGCUCCAUCCUUCGCGGCAGCGCCGCCCCACGGUGGGAAGGAGAGCCUGAAAAGCAUUUCCUUGAGGCGGACGCCCCUCGUCGUGCCCAAACCCGUCACUUUCUCGUUUUAACUGCAUGUCGAAUUGCAUCUGAAACCAGCGCGCGGAGGAGGGACACGCUUCUGGAAGCUGCCUGCAUUUCUCAGCAGGAUUCUUCCACUGUCUUGAGAGCUCGACCAGGUCUUCCUCACGUCCUGCAUGCUGACACUGACGCUUCUACCUCCUUUCACAUUUCAGGAUCCUUGUGAUUACAUUGGACUCGCUGGAUGAUUCAGAAUAAUCUCCCUAUUUUAAGAAAAUGAAGGUUGGAAGUGGACUUGGAAUUUUCAGGAGGUUCUUCCAAGUUUAAAAGCAAAUCUCUCAGCCCUUUGAUCAUACUGUACCUGUGUACAGGCUUUGAAGGAAAGUCACACUCUUGAGACCAUUGUGGUGGGAUGGUCGUAAUCAAAACUGGAGAAGCUGAAG
Manis javanica (Malayan pangolin) is the source of this 818-nucleotide non-coding RNA. The record is from RefSeq and is a predicted model, not a curated record. NCBI's taxonomy places the organism in Eukaryota, Metazoa, Chordata, Mammalia, Pholidota, Manidae.